This 448-nucleotide ribosomal RNA is filed under the name uncultured bacterium. RNAcentral describes it as "bacterial SSU rRNA". It matches the Rfam family "Bacterial small subunit ribosomal RNA", at positions 331 to 794 of the family's 1533-position model. The record is from RNAcentral.
CCAGACUCCUACGGGAGGCAGUAGUGGGGAAUAUUGGACAAUGGGGGAAACCCUGAUCCAGCGACGCCGCGUGAGUGAAGAAGUAUUUCGGCAUGUAAAGCUCUAUCAGCAGGGAAGAAGAAAUGACGGUACCUGACUAAGAAGCCCCGGCUAACUACGUGCCAGCAGCAGCGGUAAUACGUAGGGGGCAAGCGUUAUCCGGAUUUACUGGGUGUAAAGGGAGCGUAGACGGUAAGGCAAGUCAGAUGUGAAAGCCCGGGGCGCAACCGCGGGACUGCAUUUGAAACUGUCCUACUGGAGUGCAGGAGAGGUAAGUGGAAUUCCUAGUGUAGCGGUGAAAUGCGUAGAUAUUAGGAGGAACACCAGUGGCGAAGGCGGCUUACUGGACUGUAACUGACGUUGAGGCUCGAAAGCGUGGGGAGCGAACAGGAUUAGAUACCCCCGUAAU